ACUCCUACGGGAGGCAGCAGUAGGGAAUCUUCCGCAAUGGACGAAAGUCUGACGGAGCAACGCCGCGUGAGUGAUGAAGGUUUUCGGAUCGUAAAGCUCUGUUGUUAGGGAAGAACAAGUGCAAGAGUAACUGCUUGCACCUUGACGGUACCUAACCAGAAAGCCACGGCUAACUACGUGCCAGCAGCCGCGGUAAUACGUAGGUGGCAAGCGUUGUCCGGAAUUAUUGGGCGUAAAGGGCUCGCAGGCGGUUUCUUAAGUCUGAUGUGAAAGCCCCCGGCUCAACCGGGGAGGGUCAUUGGAAACUGGGAAACUUGAGUGCAGAAGAGGAGAGUGGAAUUCCACGUGUAGCGGUGAAAUGCGUAGAGAUGUGGAGGAACACCAGUGGCGAAGGCGACUCUCUGGUCUGUAACUGACGCUGAGGAGCGAAAGCGUGGGGAGCGAACAGGAUUAGAUACCCUGGUAGUCCACGCCGUAAACGAUGAGUGCUAAGUGUUAGGGGGUUUCCGCCCCUUAGUGCUGCAGCUAACGCAUUAAGCACUCCGCCUGGGGAGUACGGUCGCAAGACUGAAACUCAAAGGAAUUGACGG
Molecule: ribosomal RNA, 590 nt
Filed under: Bacillus sp. ApA4.1B
Lineage: Bacteria; Bacillati; Bacillota; Bacilli; Caryophanales; Bacillaceae
Also listed under: 2 other names
Description: bacterial SSU rRNA
Rfam family: Bacterial small subunit ribosomal RNA
Source: RNAcentral